RNAcentral lists this long non-coding RNA (3135 nucleotides) under Pan troglodytes (chimpanzee). RNAcentral's name for it is "long non-coding RNA NONPTRT011510". The record is from RNAcentral. Lineage: Eukaryota; Metazoa; Chordata; Mammalia; Primates; Hominidae.
CCUCUAUAAAAAAUUAAUUGACCAUAUGGUUUGACGGUACAUGUGCACGUUUGUUAUAACCGCCUGAAGUCUGCAUCAUGACUUGAUGGUUACCCAGGGGUUUAUGUGUGUCCAACUGAACACCAUGGUUCUGGGAUUGAGGAUCCGCACAAACACAGGCAGGAGUUUGGAGGGAAGAAGGGGGCACAGCAGGAGUGUAUCUCAAGCCCACCUCAAAGGCAGCAGAGCAUUCCAAGUUGCUGAAAACCUGUGCAAAUGGGGCCUCUAAAACAAACAUUGUACUGUGAGCUCUCGGGGAAGGGGCAGGAAAAGGAUGUUGAUAAUUAAGGGGGCAUUUUCUUGAGGUGGCAGAUGAGGAGGGAGGCUUACCAUUUUGAAUCCCCUCAGCCCCAGGACAUGAUAAUCAGAGGAGAUCAUGUCCAAUCUUGAAUCAAUUCCCUGUUCAAAAAGAGGUGCUAAUACCCCAGGGACCAGACUCUGAAAAUACCAUGAAAAUACUCUGAAAAUACCAUGCUGGUCAUUCCUGAGUCCCUGUUCUAUGCCCUACAACAUAUUAGAAGGGCAAGGGAAGGUCAGAGGGUAGUGGCUUGUGUUCUGUGGAAGUAAAACACCUUAGCUCAUAUUAAGCACUGAUAAAACCCAAAGACUGGGACCACAGAUCUGUUGAGAGGUCGCUAGUAGGGACCAAGAGUGGGAGGUCUGGAACAUCCUCAGCUUGAGAUGCAGUAGGUGUGGAAAGUCUGGGAGGAGGUAAAUAUUAAAGUAAUGGGAAACAGAACACUCCCAAGCCUUAAUUUUAAUUGGAUAGUUUAAAAAAUUGAAAUAGAAUCUGACAUUGGGUGCCAGUCACCACAAAUGCCAUGCCUUUAUGGUCACUUGGUAUCAUAAAAAAUUUGCCAAAGCAUGCCUGUCUGGCUAAUCAAAAGGUCUUGCUAGGAGGUGUUUGUGUGCAUGACAGAGUGCCAAGGGGCUUGGUACCACUGACUAUCCAACGUGAUUCCUAUGGAAACAGAAGCGGCAGAGUCUUGGUUAGCUGGCUUGUUGAGGUUUGGCAGAGAAGAAGCGAAAGCUCCAAAGUGACUGCAGAUUCUCUGCAACUGGCUUUGACCCAGAGAAAGAGGAGCCACAUUCUCACUCUAAAGAUAGACAGGGACCAAACCUAACCCAUAGCACAUGCAUUAGUUCUGGUCAUCCUACAGUUGAUGGGCAACUAACACUGGGCAGGGGAAGGGAGCUGGUUAGGGAAGAAGGGCUCAUUUUUCAUUUUUUAAAGUCUUAAUUAAUAUUCUAACCUCAAACAGAUUAUCAGUGCCUCAGAUACAAUUUAAUCUUAAGUCUUUAAAAGGCCCCCUGAAACAAAAAUAUACAUUUUUUUAAGGCUUCCUCACUUUCUGAUAGUCAGUUUCCCCCAGUCUCCAGUUUUACCCUGACUUAGAGUCCACAAACUUCAUCAGACCACCUGUGCUCAUGGACGUGGGUCUUUCUAGAGGGAAGCCUCGGGCUCGGCUCCAGAUGAGCUGUGCCAGUACACCCAAUGCCCGUGAUGCCCCAAACAGGACCGCGUAGCAAUGUAUCUCUGUCAUGCUAUAGUACCCACCGUGUGCAUCUGCAUUGGGCCCAGGAUUCUCGGCCUUACCCUACUGUCAGAGGAUAUUGGGCACAAUCUUGUAUAGCUGAGCAACCAACUUAAACAUGAGAUCAUUAUGCGAUGUUUCAGAGCAAACUCUCGCUGACAGGUACAUUGUGGCUUAGUCUUCUUUAGUACUGCAUGGCCAUAGCCUGGAACAACCCAUCUCGAGUUCAAUGUAGUCUCGUAACUUCUCAUCUGACACAUCUUUGCCAACUUCCUUCUGUAGUUGUGUUAGCCAGACAAGCACUUCCUGAUUUGCCAGUCCAUGUAGAGGACCUGCCAGCCCAUUCAUGGCUGCUGCAAAGGACAGGGAAGGGUCUGAAAGGGUACUGCCUGCCAAAUGGCUGGCAUGAGCACUUAUAUUGCUGUGCUCAUGGUCACUGUGGAUGGUGAGCUACAGGUGCAUGAGCUCAGUGAACUGAGCAUCAGUAUAGCCUAACAUGUUGGUGAAACAGUGGGACCAGUCCAGCUUAGAGUCAGUGACCCCAAUACCACUGCCCUCUCCACAGAGAUUUUGGUAGACCUUUUCUGCAAUACAAGGUAGCUUUGUGAUUAGAUACACAUGGUCUUCAUAAAUCAACUCCCAGUACUUGGUUUGACUGGCACCCUCUGGAUAUGCUCGGGCAAAGUUGUUUAGGGCUGCCAUGGCUGCAGUGGGCUCAGACAUGGGUGUGGAUUGGUGGGAAAGUUGUCCAGCAUGGUGACCACAUGGGAAGGCAGAGCUGCCUGCCCUCUUUGCCCACUCUCUUAAAAGCCAAGAUACCUGUUCCUCUCUUGGAAUCUGUCCAGUUACCAGCAGCCAAAAUAAGCCCCUGGGUAGGGGUUUUCCCCACCCUUAGUCUUGGGUAGCAGUUUUUGGUAUUCAGGGAUACUGAAGCCUCGGAAACAGAUACCCUCAUCAGGAUCAAGAACUGAUGUUUAUACACCAAUCCCUUAAUGCCUCUCAUGCCGCCAUACAUUAUGUCUGCAGUGAUUUGGCCCACGACCUUCUUGCCAUGUUGCUGCCUGAAAGUCUUAAUUCUGGCCUGCUCCUUAACUAUCAGGUCAGCCAAUAUGUCUUUCAAAUUCUUGGAGGAAGCACUGGCAUGCCAGGCAGCAAGAACAAGACAAGAUGCACUGUUGCUUCCCAAGAGCCUGGCAGCCACCUGGGUAAAACCAUGGUGAGUGAACUCUGCGAUCUGGUGGAGAGGGAAGAAGGGGAGAGAGCUGUGGCAGAAACAGGAAACACCACUGUGGCACCAGAGGCCGCAAUGGGUGGACAAGGUUGAAAGGAGGCAGCUGAGGAAACACGUAGAUGAACCCGCAGCAGGUGCCCAGCCAGGGGUUCUCAGCAAGGCCCUGUGCACUGCCAACUAUGAACUUAUUAAGACUGACUUUCCAAUAGUUCUUAGCAGUGUGUGGAGUAGAAGACUGAACAACGUAUACCUUCAGAAUGCACAGAGCCAAUGCAUUUUUGGAUUACAAAUAAAUCAAUUUAAGACCUAUUGCUUCUGACAAUGAUUUGC